AUUGAACGCUGGCGGCAGGCCUAACACAUGCAAGUCGAACGGUAACAGGGAUCAGCUUGCUGAUUCGCUGACGAGUGGCGGACGGGUGAGUAAUGUCUGGGAAACUUCCUGAUGGAGGGGGAUAACUACUGGAAACGGUAGCUAAUACCGCAUAACGUCGCAAGCCCAAAGAGGGGGACCUUCGGGCCUCUUGCCAUCGGAUGUGCCCAGAUGGGAUUAGCUAGUAGGUGGGGUAACGGCUCACCUAGGCGACGAUCCCUAGCUGGUCUGAGAGGAUGACCAGCCACACUGGAACUGAGACACGGUCCAGACUCCUACGGGAGGCAGCAGUGGGGAAUAUUGCACAAUGGGCGCAAGCCUGAUGCAGCCAUGCCGCGUGUAUGAAGAAGGCCUUCGGGUUGUAAAGUACUUUCAGCGGGGAGGAAGGGAGUAAAGUUAAUACCUUUGCUCAUUGACGUUACCCGCAGAAGAAGCACCGGCUAACUCCGUG
Molecule: ribosomal RNA, 490 nt
Filed under: uncultured bacterium
Lineage: Bacteria
Description: partial 16S ribosomal RNA
Rfam family: Bacterial small subunit ribosomal RNA
Source: RNAcentral